This 359-nucleotide ribosomal RNA is filed under the name Paraburkholderia caribensis. Its description in RNAcentral is "bacterial SSU rRNA". It matches the Rfam family "Bacterial small subunit ribosomal RNA", at positions 1017 to 1369 of the family's 1533-position model. Lineage: Bacteria; Pseudomonadati; Pseudomonadota; Betaproteobacteria; Burkholderiales; Burkholderiaceae. The record is from RNAcentral.
CCGAAAGGGAGCCGUAACACAGCGUGCUGCAUGGCUGUCGUCAGCUCGUGUCGUGAGAUGUUGGGUUAAGUCCCGCAACGAGCGCAACCCUUGUCCCUAGUUGCUACGCAAGAGCACUCUAGGGAGACUGCCUGGUGACAAACCGGAGGAAGGUGGGGAUGACUGUCAAGUCCUCAUGGCCCUUAUGGGUAGGGCUUCACACUGUCAUACAAUGGUCGGAACAGAGUGGUUGCCAAUGCCUGCGAGGUGGAGCCAAUCCCAGAAAACCGAUCUGUAGUCCGGAUCUGCAGUCUUGCAACUCGACUGCGUGAAGCUGGAAUCGCUAGUAAUCGCGGAUCAGCAUGCCUGCUGGUGAAUAC